GCGUCAAGCGCUGGGUGGGCGAGCAGAGAACUAUUUUGAACCGUUCGAUCAGGGAACGAGUCCCGCCUCGCUCUCGACCGUCGAUUGUCACAGAGUGUGAUAGCAUCCCGCCCCGACGAAAGCCCUAGCCGCCACACCCCGCUCUCCCAGACUCCCACGCUCGCAACCCCGUGCCCUCUCGCUCCCGUCCCUUCGUCUCUUCUCUGCCGCCGCCGCCUCCCUCGCACCGGUGGUCCAUGGUCCCAACUCGGUCGGCGAGCUGCUGCACCGCGCGGGAGCUGGUGAGUUCCGUGUUGAGGUAAUCUCGCUUAGAUUGAAGCCUGCCGGGGUUGCUCGUCGCCUAGCAUCUCCUCCGUCUAGAUUUGCCACAAACAGCCUCAUCUAGGGUCGAGCCAAUGGCACCAGUCCUUGACGAAGAUGCAUCGGGAGUUGACUACAGCUUAGUGUGGAGUGGCAUGCACCUAGGUGAUCUUAUACUGCUUAUAGACACCAAAGAAGCAAAAUCUGCUUUGGUGGAACUUAUAAACAUGACCAAUCAUGAUGCCGGUAUGGGAAACUAAACAAUUCAUUGAUGAAGUGAAGUAUCAAUCCUCAUCCGCUUUGUAUAGCCAAUAAUUAAAGAUUGAGAUGUUCAAAGAACUUUCAAAGUUGCCUAAUAUCUAUGACAGAUUUGCAAGAUUAUUGAUUAAGAACAUAUGUGAAUUGGACGGUGUUAAGAGGGGCCUGCCUUGCCAGAUUUUUGGUGGCCUCGCUACUUAUGUUGCGAAGAAUCCUGAAACUGGUGAAACUGUUCUUGAGAGUGGAGCGCUUGGUCUGAGUGACAAAGUUGUUUGUUUUAUCGAUGGGUUCGACAAGAUGUCUGAUAAUAGUUGAAGCAUGCUACAUAAGGUCUGUUCUCUCAUUCAAUCGUUCCCCUCCAAAUUUGAAUCCGAUAAUAUGAUUACUCAAACAUCUUUAGUGAAUAUACGAUGAUGCAGCAGUAGACUAUAUCCAUUGCAAAAGGCUGGAAUAAUUGUAUCUUUAAAUGCUAGAACAUCUGUCUUAGCACUUGCAAAUCCAUCUGAAUCACGUUACAAUAGGCUUUCUGUGAUUGACAAUGUCCACCUUCCCCUGAUACUGAUGUCAAGGUAAGUGCAUGCCUCAUGUGUGUAAAGUGGACAAACAAUUAUAAGUAUUCUAACUGCAGUCACAUUUUUCUAUUAUGCAGGCUUGGCCUGAUUUAGGCAGAUGAGCAAACAGAUAGAUACUUGGCUAAUCAUAUUGCUUCAUUGCAUUUUGAUAAUCCAGAACUAAAAUACCCAUCUCAGAUUUUGUACCUGAAACUUUAACCAAACUGCUUUGUUUGAAUAAAGUAUAUAUAUAACGGAUUCCUAGAUGAGUCAAUUUCGUAUUAGUUGUAUAUUCAUGAUGUUAUGAAGGUAGUGGAGCACCACAUAUGAUGUUGGACAUGCCCAUGCUGAUUUCACACAUAAGCUAUACAAGGAAGUACACUCAGCCACAGUUAGGACAUGCCCAUGCUGAUUUCAUAGAUAAGCUAUGCAAGGAAGUACACUCAGGCACAGUUAUCUGACGAAGCUUUUAUUGCUGUACUUUAGAGUUAAUAUUUCGGGCAACCGAGUGGAAACCGUCAGAUUUUACAUCCUCAGUUGGUCAUGUUUUUUUUGCUUAGUUGCUUCUAGAGCGGUCAUAUUUCUUUUGCCACACCAUCAACUGGAUCUAAAGACUACUUUUGUGUUUGCUACCCUUGUGAUGCCCCCCUCGAUAAAUUUCAGCAUUGAGAUUAGCUAUCUUUGAAGUCCCUUUUGUCGUUUCAGUGCAGCAUGAGCAUAGUGAGAGAAGAUUUUUUUUGUUUGCCCGUCGGCAUACAGCUGCUUAGUGAUCAUUAGCAUCCGAACCUGGUUCUUUUCGGGCAUAGCUUUCCUUUAUUUAUCAAAGCAUUUUACAUACUAAAACUGAUCUUUUUAUUAUCUAUUGUGGUGUUCAUUGUUAAGUAGCUUGCCAGUUUUGCAUAAGUUUCCUUUGUCUUGACAAAUGGUUGUUUCACACUACCUUAAACUAAAUUUCUUUCAUAGCUUCAGUUAAUAUAUCUCUGGUGUUGCCUCUGUUUUUUUGUUUUCUGAUAGAUAUGCAGAUGCUUUAUUGCUAGCCUGAAUUUAAGUUCAGAGGAUCUUCUCUUUGGGGGUUUCCAAUCUGCUUGCUAGGCUAGAAGCCUGUUUAUUCUACUUAGAUAGCUCUCCAAGUAUCAAGCUCUGCUUGGGAUUUAUUGUUGCGGCAGUAUGAAAUAGUUUUACAAGUUGCCGUAAGAAAUGAAGAUGGCUCUUCCAGUUACACUGGAGAUUAGUACUGAUUUUGUCUUGCAAAGUUUUGUAUCCAAAUUCAUGAAAAGUUUUGUUGUUUUUAUAUACGAGAGAGCUAUCUGACAUGUUCAUUGUUUUGCCAAAAGUUCAAAACUUCGAUUGCUU
Molecule: long non-coding RNA, 2462 nt
Organism: Lolium rigidum
Lineage: Eukaryota; Viridiplantae; Streptophyta; Magnoliopsida; Poales; Poaceae
Exons: 7
Source: RefSeq, a predicted model, not a curated record